GAUGAACGCUGGCGGCGUGCCUAAUACAUGCAAGUCGAGCGAAUGGAUUGAGAGCUUGCUCUUAUGAAGUUAGCGGCGGACGGGUGAGUAACACGUGGGUAACCUGCCCAUAAGACUGGGAUAACUCCGGGAAACCGGGGCUAAUACCGGAUAACAUUUUGAACCGCAUGGUUCGAAAUUGAAGGGCGGCUUCGGCUGUCACUGAUGGAUGGACCCGCGUCGCAUUAGCUAGUUGGUGAGGUAGCGGCUCACCAAGGCAACGAUGCGUAGCCGACCUGAGAGGGUGAUCGGCCACACUGGGACUGAGACACGGCCCAGACUCCUACGGGAGGCAGCAGUAGGGAAUCUUCCGCAAUGGACGAAAGUCUGACGGAGCAACGCCGCGUGAGUGAUGAAGGCUUUCGGGUCGUAAAACUCUGUUGUUAGGGAAGAACAAGUGCUAGUUGAAUAAGCUGACACCUUGACGGUACCUAACCAGAAAGCCACGGCUAACUACGUGCCAGCCGCCGCCGUAA
RNAcentral lists this ribosomal RNA (515 nucleotides) under uncultured bacterium. RNAcentral's name for it is "partial 16S ribosomal RNA". It matches the Rfam family "Bacterial small subunit ribosomal RNA", at positions 28 to 523 of the family's 1533-position model. The record is from RNAcentral.